GCCGCGUGUGUGAAGAAGGCCUUCGGGUUGUAAAGCACUUUCAGUCGUGAGGAAGGUGGUAGUGUUAAUAGCACUAUCAUUUGACGUUAGCGACAGAAGAAGCACCGGCUAACUCCGUGCCAGCAGCCGCGGUAAUACGGAGGGUGCGAGCGUUAAUCGGAAUUACUGGGCGUAAAGCGCAUGCAGGUGGUUUGUUAAGUCAGAUGUGAAAGCCCGGGGCUCAACCUCGGAAUUGCAUUUGAAACUGGCAGACUAGAGUACUGUAGAGGGGGGUAGAAUUUCAGGUGUAGCGGUGAAAUGCGUAGAGAUCUGAAGGAAUACCGGUGGCGAAGGCGGCCCCCUGGACAGAUACUGACACUCAGAUGCGAAAGCGUGGGGAGCAAACAGGAUUAGAUACCCUGGUAGUCCACGCCGUAAACGAUGUCUACUUGGAGGUUGUGGCCUUGAGCCGUGGCUUUCGGAGCUAACGCGUUAAGUAGACCGCCUGGGGAGUACGGUCGCAAGAUUAAAACUCAAAUGAAUUGACGGGGGCCCGCACAAGCGGUGGAGCAUGUGGUUUAAUUCGAUGCAACGCGAAGAACCUUACCUACUCUUGACAUCCAGAGAACUUUCCAGAGAUGGAUUGGUGCCUUCGGGAACUCUGAGACAGGUGCUGCAUGGCUGUCGUCAGCUCGUGUUGUGAAAUGUUGGGUUAAGUCCCGCAACGAGCGCAACCCUUAUCCUUGUUUGCCAGCGAGUAAUGUCGGGAACUCCAGGGAGACUGCCGGUGAUAAACCGGAGGAAGGUGGGGACGACGUCAAGUCAUCAUGGCCCUUACGAGUAGGGCUACACACGUGCUACAAUGGCGCAUACAGAGGGCGGCCAACUUGCGAAAGUGAGCGAAUCCCAAAAAGUGCGUCGUAGUCCGGAUUGGAGUCUGCAACUCGACUCCAUGAAGUCGGAAUCGCUAGUAAUCGUGGAUCAGAAUGCCACGGUGAAUACGUUCCCGGGCCUUGUACACACCGCCCGUCACACCAUGGGAGUGGGCUGCAAAAGAAGUAGGUAGUUUAACCUUCGGGGGGACGCUUACCACUUUGUGGUUCAUGACUGGGGUGAAGUCGUAACAAGGUAGCGCUAGGGGAACCUGGCGCUGGAUCACCUCCUUAAACGAUGAU
This 1154-nucleotide ribosomal RNA is filed under the name Vibrio parahaemolyticus. RNAcentral describes it as "bacterial SSU rRNA". It matches the Rfam family "Bacterial small subunit ribosomal RNA", at positions 396 to 1533 of the family's 1533-position model. The record is from RNAcentral. Lineage: Bacteria; Pseudomonadati; Pseudomonadota; Gammaproteobacteria; Vibrionales; Vibrionaceae.